RNAcentral lists this ribosomal RNA (495 nucleotides) under uncultured bacterium. RNAcentral's name for it is "bacterial SSU rRNA". It matches the Rfam family "Bacterial small subunit ribosomal RNA", at positions 372 to 862 of the family's 1533-position model. The record is from RNAcentral.
CAGGGCGCAGCUGAUCCAGCAUGCCGCGUGUGCGAAGAAGCCUUAUGGUUGUAAAGCACUUUAAGCGAGGAGGAGGCUACUUAGAUAAUACCUAGAGAUAGUGGACGUUACUCGCAGAAUAAGCACCGGCUAACUCUGUGCCAGCAGCCGCGGUAAUACAGAGGGUGCAAGCGUUAAUCGGAUUUACUGGGCGUAAAGCGCGCGUAGGCGGCUAAUUAAGUCAAAUGUGAAAUCCCCGAGCUUAACUUGGGAAUUGCAUUCGAUACUGGUUAGCUAGAGUGUGGGAGAGGAUGGUAGAAUUCCAGGUGUAGCGGUGAAAUGCGUAGAGAUCUGGAGGAAUACCGAUGGCGAAGGCAGCCAUCUGGCCUAACACUGACGCUGAGGUGCGAAAGCAUGGGGAGCAAACAGGAUUAGAUACCCUGGUAGUCCAUGCCGUAUACGAUGUCUACUAGCCGUUGGGGCCUUUGAGGCUUCAGUGGCGCAGCUAACGCGAUA